Molecule: RNA transcript, 2482 nt
Organism: Theobroma umbraticum
Lineage: Eukaryota; Viridiplantae; Streptophyta; Magnoliopsida; Malvales; Malvaceae
Gene name: Pentatricopeptide repeat (PPR-like) superfamily protein
Source: RefSeq, a predicted model, not a curated record
AAUUGAAGUUCUUUCGAACAAAAGAAAAAAAGGGACACAAUCAAAUAAUUUUUGCAACUAAAUUAAGUUUUCAAAGGUUGCCGCCACCGGCGACAGCCAUUCUCCUCCCUCCUCCCUUUCCCUUAGAUUCCCUCUUCCAUCUUCUUCUUCGUCAUUUUAUUUCCUAAGACCCAGCCCCUUAAAUUCAAUCCUUUCCAAAGCCAGCAAGUUGCAGCUGUCGAAGCUUCGCCCACCCACAAGUCCGCCAGCGGAGACCCAGCCUCCGCCACCGGUUAAUGCGCACCAGUCCAGUUCUUUGUUCUUCUUCUCUUCCAAUUUCCAUUGCCAAAUAAGCGAGGACAAAGGUUUUUUUUUUUUGGAAUUGUUUAGCUUUAUGUGGACUUGUUCUUGAAUGUGCUUUAAGAAAAAGAAAAAGAAUGGUUCGUAGAUUAUCAACUAGAUUAUUGAACGUUUGCAUUGCUUCAUUUUGUAAAGCCCAUAAAUUGGAGAAAGCCGAAACGGUUAUUAUUGAUGGUAUAAGAUUGGGAGUGCUCCCUGAUGUCGUAACUUACAACAUACUUAUUGAUGCAUACUGUCGUUUAGUCGGAAUCGAUGCUGGUUACUCUGUUCUUCAUAGAAUGGGAGAAGCUGGGAUUUCUCCAGAUGUUAUUUCUUACAAUUCUUUGAUAGCUGGCGCCAGUAGGAAUUGCCAAAUAUCUCGGUCUUUUAAUCUGUUUGAUGAAAUGAUUCAAAGAGGUAUUGCUCCUGAUAUUUGGAGUUACAAUACUUUGAUGCACAGCUUCUUCAAGUUAGGAAAACCAGAUGAGGCCAAUAGGGUUUUCCAGGAUAUAAUACUUGUUGAGCAUUUGCCUUGUGUCGCUACUUUUAACAUUAUGAUGAAUGGUCUCUGUAAGAAUGGGUAUACUGAGAAUGCUUUUAUGUUGUUUAGGAAUUUACAGCGUCAUGGAUUUGUGCCAGAGUUAAUGACAUACAAUAUUCUUGUUAGUGGAUUAUGCAAGAUUGGUAGAUUAGGGUUGGCAAUGAGGAUUUUUAAAGAAAUAGUAGAAUCGGGUCAUGUUCCAAAUGCCAUAACAUACACUCCUGUACUGAGAUGCUGCUUUAGGAAGAGGAAGUUUGAAGAAGGGCUCGAGUUAUUGUCUGAGAUGAAGAGUAAAGGGUAUAUGUUUGAUGGUUUUGCUUACUGCACUGUUAUUGGUGCUCUAAUCAAGAUAGGCAAGAUGAAAGAGGCAACUGAAUUCAUGGUGGAGAUGAUGAGGACUGGUAUUGAGCUUGAUAUAGUGUCUUAUAACACCCUCAUUAAUAUGUAUUGUAAAGAUAAUAAGUUAGAAGAAGCCUACAAGUUGUUGGAUGAUAUAGAAAAAAAAGGGUUGGAAUGUGACAAAUAUACACACACAAUAAUGAUUGAUGCAUUGUGCAAGGCAGGUAAUAUUGAGGGGGCUGCACGACAUCUGAAGUACAUGAGUACGAUGGGCUUUGAUUCAAACUUGGCUGCUUAUAAUUGUUUUAUUGAUGGGUUGUGUAAAGUUGGUCACAUUGAUGAUGCAAUGAAAGUCUUUAAAUCAAUGGAGGUAAGAGAUUCUCUUACCUACUCCUCUUUGGUGCACAAUCUUUGCAGAGCUGGAAGUUACCGCUCUGCAUCCAAGCUUCUGCUAUCUUGUUUGCGAAGUGGUAUGAGAAUACUGAAGUCUGCCCAACUGGCUGUCCUGUCUGGUCUUCGCUAUUCUGGAUUUCCUGGAGAGGCAAGGAAGGGACAUGAGCUGCUCUGUUUGCAUCCUAUCAAGGAGAUAUGCUCGUAGAAGUGUAUUUUACAUGGAAGGCUUAGCCUUGCAGGAUCAAUGGUCUAAAAUACUCACAGUUUAAGUUGAAACUGUCUGUGGCAGGUGUGAUGAAGGAAGAGGCACCUCAUUAGAAAAUUAUCUGGAACCUUGGCAGUUGCCACUUUGAAUGCUGGGUUAAAGUAUCUAUUUCUCCCUGGGAUCCGCCCUAGAUGCAUUUGCAGAAAGGAGUUUAGAGGCUGGUUGCUCAAGGAAUAGGAAGAAAUUCUCAUAGUCUCUCUGUCUUUUCCUUUGUGGAUCAAUGGCUUGGCUAGACGGCGGUGGAUGAGGUACAUCCAGCAAGUUGUGGCAUCAGGUAGCUCUGUCUGCUCUUCGUUUCCGAGGUGCAGGGAUCUCUCUCUAGUCUCUCCUUCCCCAUUUCUUCUCCUAUUAGGUAGCUGACAACAUUAAGUGAAGCUCAAGGACCGAGCCCAACCGAUCUCCACUUUAAAUUAUUGGAGUAGCGUUUCAAACUUAGCAUUGAUAUCAGUUAGCAUUCAAAAGCAUUUCAAUAUUUUAUUUUUAUUUAAAGAGUUCCAUUCGAAUCUAUCAUUAUUUAAAUAAAAUAAUAUUAAUAUCAGAUAAAAUUUUGUGCAAUUUUUUCGGUAGUUUCGCCUCCAGAUAUGAGAAAGUUUUAACUUCCAAGUUAAAAGAACUUAAUUGAAAGA